RNAcentral lists this transfer RNA (68 nucleotides) under Melinna cristata. RNAcentral describes it as "tRNA-Phe". Lineage: Eukaryota; Metazoa; Annelida; Polychaeta; Terebellida; Melinnidae. The record is from RNAcentral.
GCCUAGAUAGUUUAUUAAAAUAAAACAUAGCUCUGAAGAAGCUAAAAUGGCCAUUUGACCUCAAGGCA